UCCGGGGCCCAGGGCUGGAGGGUGUCAGUGCGCAGAGCGGGGACAGCAGGCGGCCUGUGUGGAGCGCUCUGCCAGACGCCAAUUAGCCUGGUAUGUGGGACCCGGCCUCCGCCGGCCUGGUGACAGGACUGGGGGACCGAGCCCAGACCCCUCUCUGCCCUCACAGACAACUCUGCAGUCCCACGACCCAGGGAUGUGGGGUCAGAGGCACUCAGCCCCUCUCAGCCUCUGCCUUGGGGGAGGGGUUUGGCCCUUCGGUCCAGAUGCUGGGAUCUCAACCCAGCCUGCCGCCGCCUAUCGGGGGACUGGCCAGGUCACAGUCCCUAGGGACUGGGUGAGUUUGGAGGGGUCUGAGGUCUCUGUUGGCUCUGAGACUCCGUGUCUCUGGCUGCAGGUGGCUUCCGGAAACUCCAGGUACACAGAGAUGUGUGUCGAUGAAGAGUCACCCAGACCCCCUUCCUUGGUGAGGUGGGAGGACAGCGUGCUGGCCACACCAUACCUCAAGGCCCAGGGCACCUGAAGCUCUCUGCUCUGGUGGUGGAGGGGACAUUCAGCAGCUUGCUCCUGGGGCACCAGUGCUGUAGAUGCUGACCCACAGAAGUUUCUGAGAAAAGGGUCUGGGGUCUGAGGUCUUGGCGUGCAGGAUCAUGCACCCUAUCCGCACGGAGGGACUGGAGCUGUAAGCAUCGUGCCCAGGGCGUGCCAAGCAACACUGCGUUCUCACAUGAGCAUGACCCUGGAGCCCAGCGUGGGCAGGGCCCGGAGACCCCCUUGGGUGGGGCUACAGCACCUUCCUGGGUGGGCUGGGGCUGCUGGGCUGGGAGUGCCCAUGUCAUUCCCCGGUCUUUGCGGGAGCACCUGCUGGUGGGAGAGGCAUGAGGCUUACUAGGGCUGAUGUGGGGGGAUCUGGAGGUGCACUUACCAGGGCCCUCCAGGGCCAGGGUGCUGUGGGCCCACUGUGGGCCCAGCCCUGCCUGGGGUGACCAGUCUGUGAGAGGACACGUUGGCCUGGCUGAGAUUGGGUCCCGCUGCUGCCUUGGUAGAGUCUGCUGGGGCCUUCACCCCGCCCUGUCUAGGGGGACAGAGGGGCCUUCGCUGCCGUCCUGGGAGGGGUGGCAGCCACAUGGCAGACUUUGCAGGGGCCGAGACUGGCACUGUUACCGCUGUCCCCAGCCUUUCCAGGGUGGAGGGCUGGGGACAGCUCAGGCCACGCUGCCCACCCACGCCUGGUUGCUUGCUGCCUGAUGGUCCCUGAGGUAGGGCUGCUAGACCCAGCGGCGGUGAGUCCCCUUCUCCCUAGUACUUCAGGAAGGGGACUCGUCUGGCCUUGUGGUGUCCGAGUGGUUGGGGCUGACCGGCGGCCAGGGCCUCAGCCCUGCCAGGGAGUCCCCCUUCACCCGCCCCCUGGAGCCUGAGGGGUGGACAGCCUGGCUUCCCUGGCAUUGGCUGGCCCCUCAGUGAGCUCUGUGACACCCAUUUCCCAAGCGGGCUGCCUCCUGCUGUGUCCAGAGGGGAGGAUGUUCCUCUGCCUGCAGGGGCCGCCCUGGGCUUUGGGCAGGGUCCAGGAAUUGUCCGGUCCCUGCUGCCUGGCUUCCCUGCAGAUCUGAGGACAGAAGCCAGCUCUGGCUGGGCAGGACUGGCCUUGCUGUCAGGCCGGCACAGGACAUCCUAGGUUGCCCCUUCCUCACGGGGCCUCGGAGGCAUGCAGGUCCUGUCCGGGUUCUUCUGCCCCCUGGGCUUGCUCAUGGGUGGGGCAUUGGCUGAACACCACUGUGUCCUGCUGCUGUUCCGGUCCAGUGCUGACCAGCACGGCCUGCCCUGCUCCCCCCGGUCAGCCUGCUGCCGCCUCGCUGCCUUUGGUGCCUGUCCUGGGUCAGGGAUGGCUUGGCAGCAUGCCCCUGGCGCUCAGUGCCCGGUCCUGGGCCUGGCAGGCGCCACAGAGAGGCUUGUGGGGUUGUGGAGUGGGCUUUGGUGGGCCCAGGGCCUGGGGAUGCUGCAGCUCCUUGACCCUGCGGCCGGGUGGGAAAGGCCAGUGCAGAGUGGGCCGGGAGAGGUUCCAGCGCCUUGGCUGGCCGCAUGGGGCACACACCCAACCUCACUACCAGCCUGUCCUGUCUUACGGUGACACAACCCAGCCCCGAGGUUAGACGACCUCCCUGCCUGGCCUCGGUGCCACCUGGAGGCCACACCCCCGGCUCUGGGCAGAUCCCAGUGGGACUUCUUACGCCCUCUGCACCAUCAUUACAGUGAAGAUCAGUCCUAGAUGAGCUAAGAGACCUGUGACAGGUCCACCCCAUGGGGGCACUCGCCUGGCUCCCUGGCUCUGCAGAUGUCUUUUCCUCAGUCACCAGGUCCCCACACUCCCCUGACCCUUAAUUAACUCUCGGGGGAGCUGGGCUCCUGUUUCCUUCCUGUCCUGGGCUGGGGUGGUUCUGCAGCUUGGGCCAAGUGUCUCCCGAGCGGGGCCCCAGGAGGGACCGGGUGGGCGGGAGCUGCUGUGCCCACACACGUGUGCUUCCUGUCUGCACACAGGACAGCCCUGCACUGCUGCACCCACAGGCCUUGACCUGCCCGUGCGCACGCUCGGAGGUGCCUGUAUACACACCCCUUGCCGGCUUGCACACAUGCGCCCACGCACGCGCCCACGCACGCACACGCGCAGGAAGAUGCACAGCUGGACCCCCCAGCGGCUUUGCCCUGGGCUGGCAUGGGCGGCCCUGGGCACCCUGCCUCCAGCUGCCACCCCUCCCAGGCAGCUGGGAGCCUGCUUUUGCAAUUCUUGCAUUUAUAUCAUGGUCCUUUAUAUCGACAGAAGCUUUCAAAACACUUUAGGCUUGUUUACCGAGCUGUGCAAGAACAUUUUGUCUCCUCUCCAACUCAGCCUUCCAGAGCCAUCAGGAACGUGCCCGUCCCUGAGCUGGCCAGCAGCAGCCCCCAGCUUCUUAAAGGGCCAUCCUCAGAGAGGAUGGUCGGGGCUUGGACAGAGGCCGGCUGGCCAGCUCUUGCUGCUGACCCUGGACACAGGGUCCCUGGUGACAUGAAGUAUUGCAGGUGGAGCCUGGGAACCAGCCCGCGGGGACUCAGGCACUGCCUUCUGACUGGCAGGCUGAGAAGUGGCCGGGCCCAUCGUCCUUACCCUGGACCCUAGCUUUGGUGGGAUGCCCUGCUGGGCACGCCCCUCUCCUCCAUGCCCCGAGACAAGGUCACAAUAAAGGGAACAGUGAGACUUCCUGUUCCCAUCUGUUGAGGUUCUGGGCUGUGCCCUGCACGGUGUCUCCAUUAGGUAGAGGCUGGCAGCCUCCCCCAGGGAGCACAAGCCCCGUUGGCCAGGGCCAGGGUCAGCGGUGUUCCCUGUAGCCAGGCUUCCAGAGGAGGUGGUGGAGUGAGCAUCCCACAGGGGAUGGGCUGGCCACUGGCCCUCGGUGCUGAGGUCUCCGUGUUUGCUGGAAGCACAGAACUGCCCCACGGAGUGGGGCAGCCCCCUUGACACCCAGCCCCCCCACUUCCCCUGUGGCUGGAAAUUUGGAGAAGUACCCUUGGUCUUGGUUCCUUCCCUGGCUUCUUCCUGUAGCCUCUUCCUCUGCCGGUGACCCCCAGCCUCCUCCAAAUUCCAGCCUUCACAGGGACUGUUCUUUCAUGUCCAGCACUCCAUCAGCAAGGCCACUGAGUGCCCCCUGCCUGUCUUUCACCCCUCCACUUGCCCGGCCCAGGCCCUGCUGCCUCCUGAGCUCAUGGCCUCUGUGGGCACCAGCUGGGGGUCUUGGAGGGCACUGCUGCACCAUGCACAACUUCAAGCACAUGAAGAUCAAGUCCACCUGAGUCCUGCAAAGCUGGGACCUGUGCUAGGACACACACAUGCUGGGGAGAUGAGAAAGUAAAGGUAAUCCCAGAGGCAAGGUCGAAUACAGAAGCAAGCAGAGUGGAGUGGCCACAGAGCUGGCCUUGGGUGCAGCAUUGAGCUUCCUAGCAGCCAGGACAAUAAGGGAAAUGUGACUGAAGAGGCAUUCUCCCUGUUUAGAAAGGAAGUCUUUUGACAUUAUUUGUCACAGGGUUCUUAUUCCAGGCCCAGAAGGGAAUGCAUUCUGGGAAAGAUGCAGCCCAGACUCCUCCCAGGGUUCUCAUUUAAGUGACAGUUUCUGGGACCUGCUGAGGGCUCAAGCUGGGAGUGGCUGCAUUUCUGCAGAGGAGGGGACCCUGAGGCCACCAAGGUGAUGCUCAGGAGAGUGGGGGUCAGAGGACAGGAUACAUGGAGGCAGAUGAACGUGUGAGCAGACCACAGCAGUCACUGUGGGCACUGGCCCUCCAGAGGCUACUGUAGGGACCUGGGUCCCUUAUGGGAGGCGUGUGGGAGGGCAGCUGGCAGUGCAGUGGCCCAGCCUGGACAUGCAGCUGGCCUCUGGGCGGCUUGGGUAAGGCCCAUCCAUGGGCCACUGGAUCUCUGACCCCUGCCCUGCUCUACAAAUGGGAGGGUGUUCCCUUCUCACUGGACCAGCUCGGGCCUGGGGAACUGGGCACAGCUUGCCCAGUGGCCUCCCUCCACCCCUCACCCGCCAUCAACUCUCAGAGGCUUGGUGCUGCUCCUUGGAGGAGACUGGCCCUGCCAGUCACGACACAAAAAGCAAGCUGGCAGUGUGCGGCAGGGACCAGGGACGGCUGUGGACUGAGGGCCCAGGCGCUAGGCAGGACUGGGCACCAAACCAGGGGUGGGGGCCCAGGGCCCUCCCUUGCCCCACAGGAAGGGCCAGGAGCCUCCCCUAGCAGCUGGAAAGGGGCUCGGACCCUUCCCCCACCUGCUGUGGCUGCAGGGACAAAGGGCUGAGCCUUGUCUCCUCGGAGGAGGCCCCACCCCAGGCCUCGGGACCCACGGCCUCUCCUCCCUUCCCUUCCACCAGCCCUUUCAGAAAACCCGGGUCCCCCUGAGACCCCCAGUGGGUGGCCUCUCCUCUUCACAGCUGAGCAGCCUGUGGACCCACACGGGACAGUGCGGCGCAGCCCCCACCCCAGCAGGCAGCCUGGACCGGCCAGGGCCAGCCCCUCCUGUACCCCGGGUUUGGUAGGACGCUUCCCCAGCUGCGGCUGGAGACUCUGUCUGCCUGACUGAGGGCCCUGGCCCCGGAGACCCUGAGGUCUGUGCUUGUGUGCUGUGUGCUUGCUGACUUGGUUCCUGUCCCCCUACCAGACCAUCUCUGGGCUCCUCCUGCCCCUCUGGAGUGCCCAGCUCCGCUGCUCCUGUCCUGGAGCAGGGGCUGCCCAGCCGGGCCAGGCCCAGUCACUGCCUGCGCUCUGAGGCUCAGCAGCAGAGGCUGCUCGGGGGCGGGGCCUGCCCAUGCCCACAGAGCCCGCAGCACUGGGCCCGGCCUGGCAGUGGCCGAGAGCUCCAGCAGAGUGAGGACAAGGGUCAGUCUGUCGGCUGGUUGGCAGACGUGGGGCCCUGGGGAAGUGGCCACCUCCUGUGUUGGUUUUCUCAUUGGAGAGGGGAACAGAGGCUUUCUGGGUAGCGAGCGUCCAUGAUGGGGCUCCACUGACCUGGCCACUUUCCUGCUGGGCAGCCAGGCAACCGCUCUCCCUCCAGGGGCAGGGCAGGAGAGGGAGGGGAUAGCGCUCAGAGUGCACUUCUCUUCUGUCCCCGUCACUGGGGUUCUGAGUCCAGGGCCAGCCUGGGAGGGGCGGGCAGUGCUGCCCGGCCCAGGGUUCACACCAGCACAGCUGGGUGUCCCCCUGCUGCCAGGUGGCAGGGUCCUCCCUUUCUGAGCGGUCAGGGCCUUCUCUCAGGUGCAGAGCUCUGGAGGGGAGGCUGAGCUCCAGAGCCAGCCUUUGGGUCCCUUCGGGGCCUCCUGGCUCAUCCGCUCUCUGUGCUCCUCAGGGAGAGGCACCCUGCUGGGCGGGGGCUGCUCUGGUCACUGGUGAGUGGCUCUGUCCCCUCUGGCCUGGCUCAGCCUGUGAAAGUGCAGGGUAGGGGUGGCCAGAGGGACAGCUGGGAGGGAGCAAACACUGACCCCUGCAUGGACCCCCGCUCAUGACCUUCAGCUCCUAGUGGUCACUCACCCUUGGCUUCCCCUCUUCUAGCCCUUCCCCACCCAGCACCAGAGGACAGGAGGACUGUUCUAGAGCAGAUCUGGCCGCCUCCUUCAGGGCUGUGUGGUUCUCCUUCUCUCCUGUCAUGUGGCGGCGUCUGGAGGCCUCGAGGGCCCCGGCAGUGCCAAUGUCCUCCUCACUCCUGCCCAAGGAGCUCCCCUGUGCACCCUGGACCCCCCCACUGGCACCAUGACAUGGAAGCCCUGUCCCUGGCUCCCCUGUUCCUGACGUAGGGCUGGCCUGUCCCUCCUCCCUAAGGCUGGCCGCCUCUGGCCUCCUGGUGCCGAGGGAUUCUGCUUUCACUCCUUGCCUUGUGUAUGGUGAGCCCCUGGGCCUGGACCUCAGCCCAGCAUGUCCUGGGCCAUCAGGUCUGUGGUCACCGGGCCUGGUGCUAUGGCCAGGUGGCUGCCUUCUGUCCAGUGUCUAGGAAUCACUCAUGGUCCUCUCAGCAGCCUUUGCAUGUCCUGCGGCUGGUGUCCUUGACCUCGAUUCCUGUGCCGGUGCUUGGGUGGUCUGCUCCGGGCUGCUCUUCCUCUCUGGGGCCUCCUCCUGCUGCUCUGUGCUCCCCGCUGGGCCUGGGCCUGGGCCUGGGCUGGGGGUCCGGGCUGCCUGAGUGCCCCCAGGAAUGGGCACUGUGGGUUUCAGAGUCAGCAGGGCCGAGUGUGGGUCCCUGCCCCCCUUUCUUGGCCACUCGCUGCCCUGGAAUUGUGGCCCUGUCCUGUCCCCCAGUCCGUGCCCCUAGUUAACUCCCCUCCUCUGUGUGGUCCCUCCUGGAGAUCCUCUCCCUACUGGGCACUGCCUGGUGCUCUGGACACCCCCCCUGCAGUCUGAACAGGGCCCCCGCCGGGACCCCACUGGAAACAGGAUAGUGGUCUGUCUUGGCCAAGGGGGCAGUGUGCUCCCCGCUGGCCUGGGAGCUGCUUGGAGGUGCAGGCCGGGGGAGGGGCACAUCAGCAGGCCUAAGGGACACUGCUCUUUGCCAGGGGUGGUCUAGGUGAUGGGAUGGAGACCAUUGAGAAUGAGUGACAGUGACCUUCCUCAAAGCCAGGUGCACUCAGGCCUCGAGGCUGGCCUCCACCUGGCCUUGGGGAUCCUCCCUGGGCAGCAAGGCUUUUGUGCCCACUGAAGAGUAGGUAAGCCAAGGCCAGGAAGGGCAGAGGCAAGGCUGAGCUCCUGGCAGACUCGGGAGAGGGUCCCGGCGGCAGCCAUGCUCACCUGGCUUGGGGUGUAGGUCCCCAGGCUGUGUCUGAGGAUGAGUCACCCGCCCAUGCCUGGGGCCAAGUUGGCUGCACACCUCCUGGCCUGGGCUGGACCCCAGAAGCCGCUGCUUCUGCAGAACACGUUUGGGCUGCAGGGUCCCAAGGAGCUGUGUCCAGGGACUGGAGGUGGCCUCCACCUGGCCUUGACUGACCUUUUCUUCUCAGUGUACCUCCCUGGGAUUUCAUGCCCAGGGGAGAUGGCACGGGAAAAAUCAUCUCCUUGGCCUGUUCUGACUUUCCCACCCAAUGCUUGGCAGAAUGGGCUCUGCCCAGGCCUCAGGGCCCCUUGGUCAUUUACCUGAGAGACUGAAAACUCUGGCUUGUGCCCGAAGAAAAUGAGGGGUCACACUCUUCCUUGGAGAUGACCUCUGUGUCAGGUGGCCUGUGGGUUGGUCCUGGGCUCUCCCUACCCAGCACCCAGUGUUGGAUUCGUUCUUGGCUGAGUGGCAGGUCACUUAGGGGCCUCGGCUUCCUCACCAGUAAAAGGGAGAGUCACACCCACUCCAUGUGGUGAUGCCUGGGUUGGAAUAGCCCACACUGAGCUGGGCACCCAGGGCUACGCCGUAGGGGGCACGCGGCAUCACCAGACCCCAAUCCCUACUUGCCCACGGAAUUCUACACAGAACAGCUGACCGGCUCCAUGGCCAGAGAGCAGAAAUGGCCCAAGGAUGAAGGGUGAUGACCAUUCAGCAGGCGGCCUUGCUGGUCAGUGUCUGCAUGGGAGCUGACCACUGUCCAUGUGUGGUCUUGGCCACUGCAGAAUAAGUCAACCAGCCACGAGCACCACUGGGAGUCUCAUAAGAGAGCCGGUGCCCAGAGUGGGCUCUGCAGGGAGCUGACCCCACUGAUGGGACUGGCUGCCACCUCUUGUCUGAGGACAGGACACCAUGCACCCCUGAUCCAAUGGAACCAGAAGGAAACGCCGCCUCUUGUCCUCUGAGCCCACCACCUGGGCUAAAUGCACGGAACGCAGCAGACACUGCCUGACAGGAACGUUCUACAGAAUCCUGCGCCACGCACCCAACACGGCUGCGGUCACAAGGCACUGAAGUCUGAGAAGUUCCACAGCCAGGAGCCCCAGGGACACAGCAAGGAAAGCACCCCAAAGGAGUGUGCAGGUGAGGGCUAAGGAGACCCAGUAAAGGACGGACGUGGACUCACAGCCAUGUGUCGCUAGUGGUUGGCCGUGUCUCAUGAGUGCCCUGCCAGCCCAAGGUGGCACAAGGGGACCUGGGCUCUGGGGAUGCAGGAUCUUUCUGUGCUUGCUAUCUUCUCAGUUUUGCUGUG
Molecule: long non-coding RNA, 8621 nt
Filed under: Marmota monax (woodchuck)
Lineage: Eukaryota; Metazoa; Chordata; Mammalia; Rodentia; Sciuridae
Source: RNAcentral